GAUGAACGCUGGCGGCGUGCCUAAUACAUGCAAGUCGAGCGAACAGACGAGGAGCUUGCUCCUCUGACGUUAGCGGCGGACGGGUGAGUAACACGUGGAUAACCUGCCUAUAAGACUGGGAUAACUUCGGGAAACCGGAGCUAAUUCCGGAUAAUAUAUUGAACCGCAUGGUUCAAUAGUGAAAGACGGUUUUGCUGUCACUUAUAGAUGGAUCCGCGCCGCAUUAGCUAGUUGGUAAGGUAACGGCUUACCAAGGCAACGAUGCGUAGCCGACCUGAGAGGGUGAUCGGCCACACUGGAACUGAGACACGGUCCAGACUCCUACGGGAGGCAGCAGUAGGGAAUCUUCCGCAAUGGGCGAAAGCUUGACGGAGCAACGCCGCGUGAGUGAUGAAGGUCUUCGGAUCGUAAAACUCUGUUAUUAGGGAAGAACAAAUGUGUAAGUAACUAUGCACGUCUUGACGGUACCUAAUCAGAAAGCCACGGCUAACUACGUG
Molecule: ribosomal RNA, 497 nt
Filed under: uncultured bacterium
Lineage: Bacteria
Description: partial 16S ribosomal RNA
Rfam family: Bacterial small subunit ribosomal RNA
Source: RNAcentral